GUGAAUCAUCGAAUCUUUGAACGCAAAUUGCACUCUCUGGUAUUCCGGAGAGUAUGCCUGUUUGAGGGUCAGUUUAGAUAAAAAUCGGUGUGGUUGCUGCGUUUCGUGGUGACGCACCGGAUUUGGGUCGUCUUGCUUUCGGUUAAGUGACCUAAAAUUGUGAAUGAUUUUUUUCGAACGUAUUUAAAUGAUUUUUAGUACUUUUGCGAUUUGGAAUACUAGGUGUGGUCAUCCUUA
This 237-nucleotide unclassified non-coding RNA is filed under the name Glomeraceae sp. Its description in RNAcentral is "partial contains 5.8S ribosomal RNA and internal transcribed spacer 2". The stretch from base 1 to 71 matches the Rfam family "5.8S ribosomal RNA", at positions 84 to 154 of the family's 154-position model. The record is from RNAcentral. Lineage: Eukaryota; Fungi; Glomeromycota; Glomeromycetes; Glomerales; Glomeraceae.